Molecule: transfer RNA, 74 nt
Filed under: Candidatus Hydrogenedentes bacterium CG1_02_42_14
Lineage: Bacteria; Pseudomonadati; Candidatus Hydrogenedentota
Also listed under: 1 other name
Description: tRNA-Thr
Rfam family: tRNA
About the family: Transfer RNA (tRNA) molecules are approximately 80 nucleotides in length. Their secondary structure includes four short double-helical elements and three loops (D, anti-codon, and T loops).
Source: RNAcentral
GCCCACGUAGCUCAGUUGGCAAGAGCGCAUCCUUGGUAAGGAUGAGGUCAUCGGUUCAACUCCGAUCGUGGGCU